This 253-nucleotide ribosomal RNA is filed under the name uncultured bacterium. Its description in RNAcentral is "partial 16S ribosomal RNA". It matches the Rfam family "Bacterial small subunit ribosomal RNA", at positions 524 to 776 of the family's 1533-position model. The record is from RNAcentral.
UACGGAGGAUCCAAGCGUUAUCCGGAUUUAUUGGGUUUAAAGGGUGCGUAGGCGGUUUAUUAAGUCAGGGGUGAAAGACGGCAGCUUAACUGUCGCAGUGCCUUUGAUACUGAUGAACUUGAAUGUACUAGAAGUAGGCGGAAUGUGACAAGUAGCGGUGAAAUGCGUAGAUAUGUCACAGAACACCGAUUGCGAAGGCAGCUUACUAUGGUAUUAUUGACGCUGAGGCACGAAAGCGUGGGGAUCAAACAGG